Molecule: ribosomal RNA, 647 nt
Filed under: uncultured Ralstonia sp.
Lineage: Bacteria; Pseudomonadati; Pseudomonadota; Betaproteobacteria; Burkholderiales; Burkholderiaceae
Description: bacterial SSU rRNA
Rfam family: Bacterial small subunit ribosomal RNA
Source: RNAcentral
CUUGCUAGAUUGAUGGCGAGUGGCGAACGGGUGAGUAAUACAUCGGAACGUGCCCUGUAGUGGGGGAUAACUAGUCGAAAGAUUAGCUAAUACCGCAUACGACCUGAGGGUGAAAGUGGGGGACCGCAAGGCCUCAUGCUAUAGGAGCGGCCGAUGUCUGAUUAGCUAGUUGGUGAGGUAAAGGCUCACCAAGGCGACGAUCAGUAGCUGGUCUGAGAGGACGAUCAGCCACACUGGGACUGAGACACGGCCCAGACUCCUACGGGAGGCAGCAGUGGGGAAUUUUGGACAAUGGGCGAAAGCCUGAUCCAGCAAUGCCGCGUGUGUGAAGAAGGCCUUCGGGUUGUAAAGCACUUUUGUCCGGAAAGAAAUGGCUCUGGUUAAUACCUGGGGUCGAUGACGGUACCGGAAGAAUAAGGACCGGCUAACUACGUGCCAGCAGCCGCGGUAAUACGUAGGGUCCAAGCGUUAAUCGGAAUUACUGGGCGUAAAGCGUGCGCAGGCGGUUGUGCAAGACCGAUGUGAAAUCCCCGAGCUUAACUUGGGAAUUGCAUUGGUGACUGCACGGCUAGAGUGUGUCAGAGGGGGGUAGAAUUCCACGUGUAGCAGUGAAAUGCGUAGAGAUGUGGAGGAAUACCGAUGGCGAA